RNAcentral lists this unclassified non-coding RNA (1875 nucleotides) under Melitaea cinxia (Glanville fritillary). RNAcentral's name for it is "misc RNA ENSMCXG00005002675.1". The record is from RNAcentral. Lineage: Eukaryota; Metazoa; Arthropoda; Insecta; Lepidoptera; Nymphalidae.
GAGGCCGAGCUGAGCACGUGGACGGCGUUUCUGCAGCGCGCCGUCGACGCGACCUACAACACGGAGGUGGUCAUCGACAACGUGCAGAACCUAAUCGCACGGCAGUGGUGAGCACUUGUGUCCCGCCAGUCGCCGUAAACUCCGGACCCUGGAUAUGGACCUACAGAAGUCACUGCGACGUGCUUCAGAGCGCGCGAGCGACCGUCGUGCGGCCUCCACACAUUCCAAAUUUAUUUUGUGUAUCGAUUAUAAUAAAGCAAAAUAAAAAUAAUAAAACUUUCAAUGCAUUGUUCCUUUAUUUCACUUACAUUUACAUUAUAUCGAUCUCGAAUACAUAAAGGUAUCAGACUCAUAUUGGCAAGUUUGUAGGAGACAUAGACUGCCAGAAGUAUAUGAAAAUACAUACAUUUGUCUCUUCAGUAAAAAUACUUAGAAUGUAGUGUUGCAAAAUAUAUUUAUAUUCUUUACAUAAUAUAAUAUAUAAAUAAAAUGAAAUGACACUGCUGUUAGCGAUCACAAAAAAUGGCCGUCCUACGCGGCGCUACACCUCGAAUAUUGUCACAAGAUAAUAUACUUAAUUACAAAACUUAAAACAAACUUAACUAUAAAAAUAGUCUGUCAUCUCCCGAACUACACUAACAUACUUGUCUCCACGUUAAACUACCAUCUGCUGGUUAGUCGACACGCACGACUCUAGCUACAGUUUCACGCUGUACCCAGAGGCCGGUCUCUGCGACUUCAGUUCCUCACAUUUAACUCGGGGCGUGAACUCCGGUCAUGUAAUAUAUGUAAAACGAUAUGGUAACAGAAAUAAUUUCAUUACGAGUAGGUAAAACGUUCCGGAUAAGAUAAGCUGGAAGACACGUUCUUAACAUACUUAAAAGUAUUCGAAGCCGGCUCCAAGCGCAGGAGUCUGGAGCUUGACAGUAUUUACAGAGCGAGACAGUUUCGAGCGUUCGGAGCGAAUCUUACGUCUACACUAACACGAAGUAAUACUGCUCCGGCGGAGCUGGGACCUCAUAAAUAUGUACUUAGUGACUAUGUACACGUGCGGGGUGAGCCGGGCGUCAGGCGGACGUCUGGCGGGCGUCAGGCGGACGUCAGGCGGACGUUAGGCGGACGUCAGGCGGGCGUCAGGCGGGCGUCAGGCGGACGUCAGGCGGACGUCAGGCGGACGUCAGGCGGGCGUCAGGCGGACGUCAGGCGGACGUCAGGCGGACGUCAGGCGGGCGUCAGGCGGACGUCAGGCGGGCGUCAGGCGGACGUCAGGCGGGCGCGGGCGGCGGCGGCGGGGCGGCGCGCGGCGCGCGGGGCGGGGCCAGCACCGCGUGCGGGACCGGCACCGUGCGGCCGCACACCUGCGGGUCGUUGAGGUGGUUGGGACACAAGUUACUUGGAUUUAACACAAUUGAGUAAAAUUAAAGACCCCGACUUCGGAGCGCGGACGAGCAAAGAGUUUGCAGUGACUAUGUUAAACGGAUUUUAGCGCACUGCGUAAGGUACCAUGUACCAUAUUCGCUAGGAGUGGUACAUUACGUCUCGUAACACGGGUCUUUACCCACCUUUACGGUGACACAUCGAAAGAAUUUUUAGAUGAUUUUGUCUAUCUAUCUAGUCGGGGUAUCGAUUAUCGGGGUAUCGGGGUACCGACCGGUAUUAAUUAAACUAUAUAAAUUAGGCACGAUAACUUUGAAAUAAUCAUUAUUGAAAAUUAAAACAAAGGAUUAAUAAAAAAAACGUGCGUACGUACAAAGUACACAUGUCAGAAGUGAAACUUCUUUGGCAAACUAGUUUUUAAGUCUCGUUUAUAUUUAUACAAAUUUAAAGCUUUAAAUUUUUAUUCCAGCGCCAUCUAGUUCGUUUGCAAUGUAAUAC